GGCCUUCUGGGUUGUAAACUGCUUUUGUCAGGGGAUAAAAAGCUCGUGCGCGAGAAAUUGAAUGUACCUGGCGAAUAAGCCACGGCUAACUACGUGCCAGCAGCCGCGGUAAUACGUAGGUGGCAAGCGUUGUCCGGAUUUAUUGGGUUUAAAGGGUGCGUAGGCGGUCCUGUAAGUCAGUGGUGAAAUACGGCAGCUCAACUGUCGAGGUGCCAUUGAUACUGCGGGACUUGAGUGUUGAUGAGGUAGGCGGAAUUGACGGUGUAGCGGUGAAAUGCUUAGAUAUCGUCAAGAACACCGAUAGCGAAGGCAGCUUACCAAGCAACAACUGACGCUGAGGCACGAAAGUGUGGGGAUCAAACAGGAUUAGAUACCCUGGUAGUCC
RNAcentral lists this ribosomal RNA (385 nucleotides) under uncultured bacterium. RNAcentral's name for it is "bacterial SSU rRNA". It matches the Rfam family "Bacterial small subunit ribosomal RNA", at positions 413 to 796 of the family's 1533-position model. The record is from RNAcentral.